Lytechinus pictus (painted urchin) is the source of this 2272-nucleotide long non-coding RNA. RefSeq lists it as uncharacterized. The record is from RefSeq and is a predicted model, not a curated record. The transcript has 3 exons. NCBI's taxonomy places the organism in Eukaryota, Metazoa, Echinodermata, Echinoidea, Temnopleuroida, Toxopneustidae.
GUCUUACAUUAUCAGAGGGACGACUGAUUCAAUGAUGAGAAGGAGCUGAAUCUCCCCUUUAUCGUUUACUUUUAUUUCAUCAAUGGAACCCCUACUCGGUGGAUUUUGGAGGCAUAGUUGGGCUGACCAGGGAGCAGUUUAUUACGGUCAACGGCUACUCUAACAUGUACUGGGGGUGGGGCGGGGAGGACAGUGACUUGGGCAGGAGAGUACGUCAGAGGUUUAAAGUCACCGAAGCUCGUCUAGGAUAUUACCGGAACUUAAACCAUGACAAGAAAACACAUGAGGGUAUGAGUGUGCAUAGAAGGUGUCUUUACGGAAAAGCACUGAAUCGGAUAAAAUACGAUGGACUAUCGAGGGUCCGUUACGAACGUUCCGCCGACAUUUCACUUUCUACAUUAUAUACCAAAAUAAAAGUUGAUGUCGUCAAACAAGAAUGGAACCGGGUAAUUCCACUUUGCAAUCAUAAAUAACGACGGUCACCAAGGCCAGUUCAUGUUUAACUGUUAUUUAUAUAUGAUCAUGCAAUGGAGCCAGGCUGGUAAUCAUAACCGUCGAUUUCGUGUGUGACUGGGGGAUAUGAGGGUGUGUGAGAGUGUGUAUGUGUGUGCCUAAAUGCGUUAUUUAUAUUACAGUGUACCUAAUUUAAUUUUUAAAUUAUCAAUUGAAUUUCAUAUAAAUCAAUGCAAACUUCUUUUAUAUCUGUAGUAGUCGUUGUCUCGAGAAAUACUCCAGGUUUCUGUAAUCACCUUUACUAAUUACAAUUACAGUAGGGGUACCCCAAGGGUCGAAUCUGGGUCUACCUCUUUUUUUCAAUUGUACAUGAAUGACCUCCAACCAGUAAGCGAUGUCUUUAAUUACAUCUUCAUUGUUCGCAGGUGAUAGAAGUUUUUUCUUGUAAGAAUCCGGUGGACAUAAUUGAGUAUAUGAAUAUAAAAAAGGCCCAAGUCCAUAGGAAGUCAUUUCGAGAAAAUCGAAAAAAGAAAGAUAUUUUUUAAAUUUGGGCAAUUAAAGUUUAUUUGGCCAAAAGACAUCAGAGAACAUCAUAAAACAAGUUUAAGUGUACAUUUUUUAAUGAACAUUAAUAUUCACAUUACUUGUGGGGCCUUUUGUCUGGUGGACUUGGGUCGUUUUAAGAAUCAUAUGGACUUGGGUCAUUCUUACAUUCAUAUACAUAGUACACUCACGGAAAUUUCCGUUGGUACACUUCUGUAGUAAGUAGUAGUAAUGAAAGAGGGCGCUAUGAUAAUUAUGAAUGUAAGUAAAGCCUAGGUCCUGGACUUGGGUUUUUCUUACACUCAUACCAGAUUUUCCUGCUUUAUUUAAGGCAUUUCUUAGAUGAUUUCAGCUUUAUCACUUAUACACAAGAUGAGUUAUUUUAUAAGGAACAAUUUCCCUUAUCUAACCCAAUUUCGCCCAAAAUUGGACUAGGGCCGUUUUUAUAUUUAGAUACUCAAUUAGAUAAUAAUAAUUCUGAUAUGUAAAAAAAUUAGCUGUUGUUUCAAGCAACCAGACUAAAAAUACAAACAAAGUAGUUAUCUUAUUUUUUCAGCCCCAACAUAAGAAACUUGAAGAGAACAUGAUAUAUUAAUAAUACUGAAAAUAAGAAAGGCCAAAAUAUACUAAAUUUGUAGGAGUCACAAUUCUUGAUGACGAGUUGGAAACAACAUGUUUAUUAUAUAACUAUGUUUAUGUGUAUUUUGUUUUAUGUCAUGAAAGAAAAAUAUGUUAUAGAGUAAAACUUUUGAGAAAAUCACAUUUUAGCCAUUUUAUUAUUGGAGUACAUGGAAGAGUAGCCUUUGCCUUACAUCACCAUGACAACACAAAUGCGGCCAUUUUGAAGUUCUCACGGGCAGAAUGAUUACCAAUUACUAUUCAUAGCUUCAAUAGAGCACUUAAAAAAAAUCUAACCAAUAACUAUAACACUCACAUCAUUCAUCCUACUUAGGAUAUCUUGUGGAUCUUCUAUUCUUCCGGAUUCCCCCCCCUCCUCCCCCACCCUGCCUUUAUUUCGCUUCUUUUCCCGUCUCCUUUCUUUCGCUCUACCUGUUUUUUUUUUUCUUUUUCUUUCCUUCUUCUUUCUUUCUUUUACUCGUUUUUGUCCUUUGUUUUGUUGUUGUUGUUGUCUUUUUUUUUCAAUUUGUCUGUUCUUGUAAUAUUUCGUCUGUCUUGUUUUGGUAUAACUUUUUGUCAUGUCUUGAUCUUGUACCGUUCUGUCACGUCCUGGUUUCGUAACGUUUUGUCUUGUGUGUCCUUUUCACUUUUUCUUCAU